GGUUAAGCGACUAAGCGUACACGGUGGAUGCCCUGGCAGUCAGAGGCGAUGAAGGACGUGCUAAUCUGCGAUAAGCGUCGGUAAGGUGAUAUGAACCGUUAUAACCGGCGAUUUCCGAAUGGGGAAACCCAGUGUGUUUCGACACACUAUCAUUAACUGAAUCCAUAGGUUAAUGAGGCGAACCGGGGGAACUGAAACAUCUAAGUACCCCGAGGAAAAGAAAUCAACCGAGAUUCCCCCAGUAGCGGCGAGCGAACGGGGAGCAGCCCAGAGCCUGAAUCAGUAUGUGUGUUAGUGGAAGCGUCUGGAAAGGCGCGCGAUACAGGGUGACAGCCCCGUACACAAAAAUGCACAUGCUGUGAGCUCGAUGAGUAGGGCGGGACACGUGGUAUCCUGUCUGAAUAUGGGGGGACCAUCCUCCAAGGCUAAAUACUCCUGACUGACCGAUAGUGAACCAGUACCGUGAGGGAAAGGCGAAAAGAACCCCGGCGAGGGGAGUGAAAAAGAACCUGAAACCGUGUACGUACAAGCAGUGGGAGCACGCUUAGGCGUGUGACUGCGUACCUUUUGUAUAAUGGGUCAGCGACUUAUAUUCUGUAGCAAGGUUAACCGAAUAGGGGAGCCGAAGGGAAACCGAGUCUUAACUGGGCGUUAAGUUGCAGGGUAUAGACCCGAAACCCGGUGAUCUAGCCAUGGGCAGGUUGAAGGUUGGGUAACACUAACUGGAGGACCGAACCGACUAAUGUUGAAAAAUUAGCGGAUGACUUGUGGCUGGGGGUGAAAGGCCAAUCAAACCGGGAGAUAGCUGGUUCUCCCCGAAAGCUAUUUAGGUAGCGCCUCGUGAAUUCAUCUCCGGGGGUAGAGCACUGUUUCGGCAAGGGGGUCAUCCCGACUUACCAACCCGAUGCAAACUGCGAAUACCGGAGAAUGUUAUCACGGGAGACACACGGCGGGUGCUAACGUCCGUCGUGAAGAGGGAAACAACCCAGACCGCCAGCUAAGGUCCCAAAGUCAUGGUUAAGUGGGAAACGAUGUGGGAAGGCCCAGACAGCCAGGAUGUUGGCUUAGAAGCAGCCAUCAUUUAAAGAAAGCGUAAUAGCUCACUGGUCGAGUCGGCCUGCGCGGAAGAUGUAACGGGGCUAAACCAUGCACCGAAGCUGCGGCAGCGACGCUGAUGCG
Molecule: ribosomal RNA, 1179 nt
Filed under: Escherichia coli
Lineage: Bacteria; Pseudomonadati; Pseudomonadota; Gammaproteobacteria; Enterobacterales; Enterobacteriaceae
Description: partial 23S ribosomal RNA
Rfam family: Bacterial large subunit ribosomal RNA
Source: RNAcentral